GUAGGUGGCAAGCGUUGUCCGGGAAUUAUUGGGCGUAAAGCGCGCGCAGGCGGUUCGUUUAAGUCUGAUGUGAAAGCCCACGGGCUCAACCGUGGAGGGUCAUUGGAAACUGGAGAACUUGAGUACAGAAGAGGAAAGCGGAAUUCCACGUGUAGCGGUGAAAUGCGUAGAGAUGUGGAGGAACACCAGUGGCGAAGGCGGCUUCUGGUCUGUAACUGACGCUGAGGCGCGAAAGCGUGGGGAGCAAACAGGAUUAGAUACCCUGGUAGUCCACGCCGUAAACGAUGAGUGCUAAGUGUUAGGGGGUUUCCGCCCCUUAGUGCUGCAGCUAACGCAUUAAGCACUCCGCCUGGGGAGUACGGCCGCAAAGGCUG
This 374-nucleotide ribosomal RNA is filed under the name uncultured organism. Its description in RNAcentral is "partial 16S ribosomal RNA". It matches the Rfam family "Bacterial small subunit ribosomal RNA", at positions 527 to 896 of the family's 1533-position model. The record is from RNAcentral.